AUGAUUGUUCAUAAAUCCACUUAGAAAUCAGGGAAAAAUGUUGCUCCUUCUAACUCUAGAACUUGCCUCAGACUCAUGUUUUUGUCAAAUGACCAACAUCUGCGACCAAUCAACAUUUUACAGCAGUUUUUAUUUUGAACAUACUUUCAUAUACAAACCAGUGACUGAGAAAAUGGCUCAUUGGAAGCUGUACUCUACAUGUACAACAUCUUGAUAUAUUCUUUUUUACAUUUUUUAUUA
This is a long non-coding RNA of Etheostoma cragini (Arkansas darter), 240 nucleotides long. RefSeq lists it as uncharacterized. The record is from RefSeq and is a predicted model, not a curated record. Lineage: Eukaryota; Metazoa; Chordata; Actinopteri; Perciformes; Percidae. The transcript is spliced from 3 exons.